This is a non-coding RNA of Astyanax mexicanus (Mexican tetra), 744 nucleotides long. Lineage: Eukaryota; Metazoa; Chordata; Actinopteri; Characiformes; Acestrorhamphidae. The record is from the annotation of a RefSeq genome assembly.
CUGCCAUUUUAAUAUAAAACUCUACAUAAUGUUACUCGAAACCCAGAGCAGAUAAAGUACAGAAGUGAAACUUAACAUCUGCAAACGUCUGUUAAGAAGAUAUUUCCAUAGACAGAAGACACGCUGCACUGAGCGCUCCAUGCUUCAGUGCUCUGGGAGUGUUUAUAGUCCUGUGAGUUUAACACUUCAUGACUGAGAGCUGCUACAGCAACUUCUUCACCCACAGCAGCCAUGACUUUAAUCCCCAUCUUCAUCUGGACCCUGAUCUUCUGCUCUCAAGAGUCCAUAGGUCAGGUGACUGUGACUCAGAGUCCUGCAGUGAAAACUGCUCUUUCAGUGAAAACCGUCACCAUCAGCUGCAGGACCAGCCCUGCUGUUUAUAACAACAACUACUUACACUGGUAUCAGCAGAAACCUGGAGAAGCUCCUAAACUCCUGAUUAAACUUGUGAAUCAGCUUCAGUCUGGUUUUGCAGCUCGUUUCAGUGGUAGUGGAUCUGGAUCUGACUUCACUCUGACCAUCAGUGGAGUCCAGCCUCAAGAUGCUGCAGAUUAUUACUGUCAGAGUCGUCAUUAUAUCAGCAGCACCCACCUGUUCACACAGUGAUAUAACGCCGUACAAAAACCUCCGUCACUCAGUCCGGCUGCACAGAGACUGCACUGCUGCAGUGGGAUCUCCUGCAGGUGCUGAGAUGGAGGAAGUGAAACAGGGCUGUUGAGCAAAAAAACUGCUGAGUUGGGGAUG